UCGAGUUUUGUCUGCCCUAUAAUCACUGCACGAUUGCUCUUGGAAUAUAGAUUACAUGCUUGAUGGGUGGUAUAGUCCUUCAGGUUCAGAUUAUUUGAUUUGCAUGGUGCAUACUAUAGAAAUUCCGUGCUGUGAUGUCGAUUAGAGGCGUCAAUGGGAAUUCACCACCGAGUUUGGACACCCCAUCCCCAUCCCCAUGAAGCUAUACUCAUCCUCAUCACCAUACCCAUACCCGUCAUGUAUAAGAUUCAUCACAUACCCAUCCACAUUCAAGUAUCGGGUCUCCAAUGGGUUCCCAUCACCGACAAGAAAAACAUUAUCACAUUAUAUUUUAUGACAUUAACAACCACACAACGUCCAACAACAAUAAAUCACCCAUAAAUCUUACAUGUAACAAAAAAAUAUUGUUUUAACUAUACAAUGAUACAAACAACAAAACACAAAGUGACACAUGGAUUGGUGGGCGGGUGACUGGUGGAUGACCGCCUAGGUUGGGUGGAUGCGUGCUUAAAAGGGUUGAAAGAGGUUGGGUUAGUUGUUGCGAUUAUUGCCAAAUAGGCUGCACACCUAAUUUUACUGAGUGAAUAUUACCCAUGGGUAAUUGGGUUCGGAUGAUUGCUUCCCAAACCCAUAUUCGCUUACCCAAUGGCAAUGUGUCAAAAUUUUAUCCCAUAUAUACACCCAUGGGACAAUUUUUGUCACAUACACUAACCCUAAUAGGGGAAUUUCCCACAGGUUAGCGGGUAUUUGGUCCUCAUUGACAUCUCUAAUGUCGAUCUGUAACCCAUAUUGAUGAAUUGUGGUGUCAUGGAGCCGAUUCUGCAUUUUGAUGCCGAUUCUAUAUAAUUUGUGUCUGCCUCUGGUCCCAAUUGCUUGGUAUCUACAGUGUACAUCAGAGUUUUGUGUUGCGAUGUUGAUCCACAACCCUUAUUGAUGAACUGUGAUAUAAUCAAGCGGAUUCUGUGCCUUUAUGCUGAUUUGUAUCACUUGCGUGUAGUCACAACUGAUUCUGAGUUUGGUUUCCAUAGUGUAUAAUGUGGGCAACUUGUGUUGCGAACUUGUGAUGUUGAUUAGCAUCCUGUAUUGUUGAGUUGUAGUGUAGCCAAUCGGUUUCCUUGUUUUGAUGAGGAUCCAUAUGACGUACUGUGAUACUGAUGAAUCAAACUGCUACCUGCAUGUUCUGAUGGCACUGCUAGCACGGUUUGCAGACACCAUGUACAUUUGUAUCUGUUGCACAACUUAGCUGUGUUUCAGGCUAUGGAGCACGGAUACACGUAUCGGUAUCGGAAGGAUACAGAUACACGGAUACGACAGUUUUCUAAAAAAUCUGAUACGCUUAUAUGUUUUACAUUUAUAAAUACAUAAUUAAUAAUACAUAUUAAAACAAAUAAAAAGGCUGCAAGCAAAUUUACUUUGCAUAUUAAGUUGCCUGUUGUCUGCACUCUUCAAUCUCUAAAUCUUUAUGUCCCCAAAUAUCAACAGACAAUAGCAGAUCAAUACUUCAACACUCAACACUCAACAGGACAGCAGCCAGUUGCAUUUCCACAAAGCAUUCCCUCCACCAGAUCCUACACCACUACUAGCAGUAGCACUAGCACUGCUCAAAUUUGGAGAAGCCAUGUACUAGAUACAACAUACAAGCAUGGAAAGCAGCAAGAGAAAGCGAGGAAAACCAGCUACACACUGCCCACGUCAAUGUGGCGGUGCGUGGGCUACUUGCGGGGCAGCGGCUCGUCGUCAGUGAGCAUUUCUUCCCUGGUGGCGGCCUCCUACAGCUGUGGCACACUAGCUCCGGUUGCGGCUCCGGUGGUCCGACUGCGGCUCCGGUCCUGCGUGGGUGGUGGCUAAGCGAGACUGCAAGAUAGACACGGUCGGGUGGGGGUAGCCCGUAGCCAGUGGGAAUAAAGUUUUUCAUCCUUGUUGGGCUGUGUAUUGGUCUGGGCUGCAUCCAAUUUGGUCCAAUACGUAUCCAGAGUCUAAUUGUGCAUCCAAUACGUAUCCAGAGUCAAAACAUGGACAUGGGAGGGAAACACCUCCGUGAAGUAUCCAAGGCGUGUCCGUUUUGGAUACGGGAUACGACCUCAGGGUGGAGUAUCCGUACUACAUAGAUUCCAAGUAGAUUCAUAGAUGCAAUCCAGUUUGUUUUCAUUCAAAUGCCCUCCCACGGUCCCACCUGCAGUGGUAGUUUAUUUUCUUGCAAAUGUCCUAUCCACCUGCAUUAAUAGUUCUUUUCUUGCAAAUAUCGCACCCACCUGCAGUAGUUUAUUUUCUUGCAAAUGUUUGACCAACUCACAGGUUGCCAAAUUGAUUACCAAAUUUAGAAGGGUUUUGUGUGUCUAAUAGGGAUCAAAGCUGUUUCUUGUGAUCUUGUCAUCCAAUAUAACAGCUCCUUGGAAAAA
Long non-coding RNA from Zea mays, 2399 nucleotides. RefSeq lists it as uncharacterized. The transcript has 2 exons. The record is from RefSeq and is a predicted model, not a curated record. Lineage: Eukaryota; Viridiplantae; Streptophyta; Magnoliopsida; Poales; Poaceae.